UGAGGAAGUAAAAGUCGUAACAAGGUCUCCGUUGGUGAACCAGCGGAGGGAUCAUUACUGAGUUUACGCUCUACAACCCUUUGUGAACAUACCUAUAACUGUUGCUUCGGCGGGUAGGGUCUCCGCGACCCUCCCGGCCUCCCGCCUCCGGGCGGGUCGGCGCCCGCCGGAGGAAAACCAAACUCUGAUUUAACGACGUUUCUUCUGAGUGGUACAAGCAAAUAAUCAAAACUUUUAACAACGGAUCUCUUGGUUCUGGCAUCGAUGAAGAACGCAGCGAAAUGCGAUAAGUAAUGUGAAUUGCAGAAUUCAGUGAAUCAUCGAAUCUUUGAACGCACAUUGCGCCCGCCAGCAUUCUGGCGGGCAUGCCUGUUCGAGCGUCAUUUCAACCCUCAAGCUCUGCUUGGUGUUGGGGCCCUACAGCUGAUGUAGGCCCUCAAAGGUAGUGGCGGACCCUCCCGGAGCCUCCUUUGCGUAGUAACUUUACGUCUCGCACUGGGAUCCGGAGGGACUCUUGCCGUAAAACCCCCAAUUUUCCAAAGGUUGACCUCGGAUCAGGUAGGAAUACCCGCUGAACUUAAGCAU
RNAcentral lists this ribosomal RNA (585 nucleotides) under Colletotrichum gloeosporioides. Its description in RNAcentral is "eukaryotic LSU rRNA". The stretch from base 230 to 383 matches the Rfam family "5.8S ribosomal RNA". Lineage: Eukaryota; Fungi; Ascomycota; Sordariomycetes; Glomerellales; Glomerellaceae. The record is from RNAcentral.